RNAcentral lists this ribosomal RNA (586 nucleotides) under Cytospora leucosperma. Its description in RNAcentral is "partial large subunit ribosomal RNA". It matches the Rfam family "Eukaryotic large subunit ribosomal RNA", at positions 46 to 655 of the family's 3401-position model. The record is from RNAcentral. Lineage: Eukaryota; Fungi; Ascomycota; Sordariomycetes; Diaporthales; Cytosporaceae.
AAAAACGGAGGAAAAGAAACCAACAGGGAUUGCCCUAGUAACGGCGAGUGAAGCGGCAACAGCUCAAAUUUGAAAGCUGGCUCCGGCCCGCAUUGUAAUUUGCAGAGGAUGCUUUUGGCGAGGUGCCUUCCGAGUUCCCUGGAACGGGACGCCAUAGAGGGUGAGAGCCCCGUAUGGAUGGACACCAGACCUGUGUAAAGCUCCUUCAACGAGUCGAGUAGUUUGGGAAUGCUGCUCUAAAUGGGAGGUAAAUCUCUUCUAAAGCUAAAUACCGGCCAGAGACCGAUAGCGCACAAGUAGAGUGAUCGAAAGAUGAAAAGCACCUUGAAAAGGGGGUUAAACAGUACGUGAAAUUGUUGAAAGGGAAGCAUUUAUGACCAGACUUGCGCCGGGCAGCUCAUCAGGGGUUCUCCCCUGUGCACUCUGCCCGGCUCAGGCCAGCAUCGGUUCUCGUGGGAGGAUAAGAACAGUGGGAACGUGGCCCCCCUCCGGGGGGGUGUUAUAGCCCAUUGUACGAUACUCUCGUGGGGACCGAGGUUCGCGCUCCGCAAGGAUGCUGGCGUAAUGGUCAUCAAUGACCCGUCUG